Molecule: ribosomal RNA, 253 nt
Filed under: uncultured bacterium
Lineage: Bacteria
Description: partial 16S ribosomal RNA
Rfam family: Bacterial small subunit ribosomal RNA
Source: RNAcentral
UACAGAGGUGGCAAGCGUUGUUCGGAAUUACUGGGCGUAAAGGGCGCGUAGGCGGUUUUGUAAGUCAGACGUGAAAUCCCCAGGCUUAACUUGGGAACUGCGUCUGAUACUGCAAAACUUGAGUGCGGGAGAGGGAUGUGGAAUUCCAGGUGUAGCGGUGAAAUGCGUAGAGAUCUGGAGGAACACCGGUGGCGAAGGCGGCAUCCUGGACCGACACUGACGCUGAGGCGCGAAAGCUAGGGGAGCAAACGGG